RNAcentral lists this ribosomal RNA (497 nucleotides) under uncultured bacterium. Its description in RNAcentral is "partial 16S ribosomal RNA". It matches the Rfam family "Bacterial small subunit ribosomal RNA", at positions 28 to 507 of the family's 1533-position model. The record is from RNAcentral.
GAUGAACGCUGGCGGCGUGCCUAAUACAUGCAAGUCGAGCGAACAGAUGAGGAGCUUGCUCCUCUGACGUUAGCGGCGGACGGGUGAGUAACAUGUGGAUAACCUACCUAUAAGACUGGGAUAACUUCGGGAAACCGGAGCUAAUACCGGAUAAUAUAUUGAACCGCAUGGUUCAAUAGUGAAAGACGGUUUUGCUGUCACUUAUAGAUGGAUCCGCGCCGCAUUAGCUAGUUGGUAAGGUAACGGCUUACCAAGGCAACGAUGCGUAGCCGACCUGAGAGGGUGAUCGGCCACACUGGAAGUGAGCCACGGUCCAGACUCCUACGGGAGGCAGCAGUAGGGAAUCUUCCGCAAUGGGCGAAAGCCUGACGGAACAACGCCGCGUGAGUGAUGAAGGUCUUCGGAUCGUAAAACUCUGUUAUUAGGGAAGAACAAAUGUGUAAGUAACUAUGCACGUCUUGACGGUACCUGAUCAGAAAGCCACGGCUAACUACGUG